UAUGCAACCUACCUUAAUCAGGGGGAUAGCCUCUCGAAAGAGAGAUUAACACCGCAUAACAUCAUUUUACGGCAUCGUAGAAUGAUCAAAUAUUUAUAGGAUUAAGAUGGGCAUGCGUGACAUUAGCUAGUUGGUGAGGUAAUGGCUCACCAAGGCUACGAUGUCUAGGGGAUCUGAGAGGAUGACCCCCCACACUGGUACUGAGACACGGACCAGACUCCUACGGGAGGCAGCAGUAAGGAAUAUUGGUCAAUGGAGGCAACUCUGAACCAGCCAUGCCGCGUGCAGGAAGACGGCCCUAUGGGUUGUAAACUGCUUUUAUACGGGAAUAAACCUCUCUACGUGUAGGGAGUUGAAUGUACUGUAAGAAUAAGGAUCGGCUAACUCCGUGCCAGCAGCCGCGGUAAUACGGAGGAUCCAAGCGUUAUCCGGAUUUAUUGGGUUUAAAGGGUGCGUAGGCGGCCUAUUAAGUCAGGGGUGAAAGACGGUGGCUCAACCAUCGCAGUGCCCUUGAUACUGAUGGGCUUGAUUACACUUGAGGUAGGCGGAAUGUGACAAGUAGCGGUGAAAUGCAUAGAUAUGUCACAGAACACCAAUUGCGAAGGCAGCUUACUAAGGUGUCAAUGACGCUGAGGCACGAAAGCGUGGGAUCAAACAGGAUUAGAUACCCUGGUAGUCCACGCCCUAAACGAUGAAUACUCGAUGUUAGCGAUAUACAGUUAGCGUCAAAGCGAAAGCGUUAAGUAUUCCACCUGGGGAGUACGCCCGCAAGGGUGAAACUCAAAGGAAUUGACGGGGGC
RNAcentral lists this ribosomal RNA (800 nucleotides) under uncultured bacterium. RNAcentral's name for it is "bacterial SSU rRNA". It matches the Rfam family "Bacterial small subunit ribosomal RNA", at positions 118 to 920 of the family's 1533-position model. The record is from RNAcentral.